AGCGGCGGAUGGGUGAGUAACACGUGGGGAACCUGCCCCUAAGUCUGGGAUACCAUUUGGAAACAGGUGCUAAUACCGGAUAAUAAAGCAGAUCGCAUGAUCAGCUUUUGAAAGGCGGCGUAAGCUGUCGCUAAGGGAUGGCCCCGCGGUGCAUUAGCUAGUUGGUAAGGUAACGGCUUACCAAGGCGACGAUGCGUAGCCGAGUUGAGAGACUGAUCGGCCACAUUGGGACUGAGACACGGCCCAAACUCCUACGGGAGGCAGCAGUAGGGAAUCUUCCACAAUGGACGCAAGUCUGAUGGAGCAACGCCGCGUGAGUGAAGAAGGUUUUCGGAUCGUAAAGCUCUGUUGUUGGUGAAGAAGGAUAGAGGUAGUAACUGGCCUUUAUUUGACGGUAAUCAACCAGAAAGUCACGGCUAACUACGUGCCAGCAGCCGCGGUAAUACGUAGGUGGCAAGCGUUGUCCGGAUUUAUUGGGCGUAAAGCGAGCGCAGGCGGAAAAAUAAGUCUAAUGUGAAAGCCCUCGGCUUAACCGAGGAACUGCAUCGGAAACUGUUUUUCUUGAGUGCAGAAGAGGAGAGUGGAACUCCAUGUGUAGCGGUGGAAUGCGUAGAUAUAUGGAAGAACACCAGUGGCGAAGGCGGCUCUCUGGUCUGCAACUGACGCUGAGGCUCGAAAGCAUGGGUAGCGAACAGGAUUAGAUACCCUGGUAGUCCAUGCCGUAAACGAUGAGUGCUAAGUGU
Molecule: ribosomal RNA, 743 nt
Filed under: uncultured bacterium
Lineage: Bacteria
Description: bacterial SSU rRNA
Rfam family: Bacterial small subunit ribosomal RNA
Source: RNAcentral